GUGUUAGAACCGCUAUUUAUAUUCUUUAAAAAAUUACAUUUAAGCACAAAGAAUUUUUUUAGACUUAUAUUGACCACAACGUGCUUAUGCAAAUUAUGUUCAACAUUAGACCACAAAUUUAAUAUUUUGCUACCAGUGAAUAUUCCAAAGUCAUAAUCAUUGUUUGAUUUGGGUGACUAUUUGAGCAAAGUGUCUCCCAUUCAUUAUCUUACAAGCUUGAAUGAAUGAAACGAAUCAAAUACAAUAAUAAAAGUAUAUUAAUGAGUAUAUUUUCAGUUUGUUGAUUACGAGAUUCAUUUGCCUAAUUAUUGAUCAUGACUUUAGAAUAUCUAUCUGAUAGAUAAUAUUUUUAUUAAGUAAUAUACAAUGCAGAAUAACAAUGUGUAUGUAGCACAACAUAUCAAAAUUAUUACUUUCGUGGGCGAAUUUUGCCGUUUUAUUGAGAUAUCAGGUUUAUUCCUAGGUUAUAACUGUUUUUAGGAUUUUUAUUAAAAUUUAAAAUUACAAUAUAUCUCAUAAAUAAACAUUAUAUUAUAUAACUUUCGAUUGGGUUAGGACCUAAGAUGACGCCAUGAUAAUAUUUCUUUGCAGUUCAACCAAUAUACCACCAUUCACAAACCAGUAGGGGAAAGUGGGGCAAUUUUUUUAGCAAAUCAGCCAAAUUUGUUGAGGACUAACAUCAACUUUCCUCCACAUAUAUAUAGUUUUCCUUCAAGAAUUAUCUUUCAAUACCAUUUUUUAUUUUCAUUCGCAUGACAUAUUUGUAACAAAUCAGUGGCCGUUGUUUUAUUGGUUCUAUUUGUGGAAAAGAAAGACGUAAGAAGCCGUGCCGGAUCUGUGUCCAGUUGGGGAAAGUAGAGCAGCUUUUUAAACAAAUCAGUCAUGGAAUUAAUUCUCUUAAAUUAUAUUUUUUGUGGGUAAUAUUAUGCCGUUUGGACCGAUUUUGCGAUCACUAGGGAAAAGUAGUGCAAUUUUUUAGUCACUUUCCUUCAGGUUUAACAUCAUAUUUCCUCCAUUUCUAUUUUUUGUUCCAUUCACAUGACAUAGGGGAGAGUAGGGCAAUUUUUUUUCUUCAUAUUUAUGUUGUUUACCUUCUAGAAUUCUCAUUUAAUUCAAUUUUUUAAAUGAUAUUAUAUCGAUGUAUGCUUUUCUUGUUCCAUUCGCAUGAUCUAUUUGUACCAAAUCAAUUGCUGUUAUAUUAUUGGUUCUAUUUUUUUAACAGCAAGAAAAAAGACGCAAAACGCAAUGCAGGAUCUGCGUGUGGACGGUUUUUCCGAUGAGACUCGAAGCAAGGAUACGAAUUAGAAUCAUCAUAAAAUGUAACGACGAUGAAAGGGGCUGCAAUUUUUGUCACACAUAAUUUCCUUUCCACAUUAUUGUGCGUUUGGUAUUUUUUUUAUCAAUUUCAAUGAAAUAUUAUCAUUGGUACGUCGAUAAUAUUGUGCCGUUUCGGCUUUUCCUUUGAUAUGCAAAAUGCAUUCUGAAAAAUAAUCAGUCUACUAUAUCUUGCGAACGGGUAGAAUUUGUCAUUUGAAAAUCUUAAAACUGGUUAUUAUCUAUUUAGUAAUAUUAAGAUAAUCUAGACUCUAUGAAGUACAAUUAACACUUAUCUUCUGGUAAUUUAUAACAAUAUUAUUAAUUUUUGCAUAUUCUUCUUCUUUUUGUUCCUUAUAAUAGAACUAUAGCAUUUUAACAGUGCUUAACACAUAUUCGUAGGUGUCCGUAAGUGUUUGGAUUCUUUUCAAAGGCAAUAGCACACCUUUUGCACUUUCGUUUAUAUUAACUUUUUACAUUGCAUUAAAAUGACGAUAUUAUAGCUUAGACGAAAUUUUCUGUUACUUACACAAUAUAUAACGUUACAGUUUAAGAUAACGUAGUCUAUAAAUAUUUAUUUAAAUAAAUACUGAUAAAAAUAAUCGAUAACUUUGUUCGCCGUUUAUAAUCAGAGUCGAUGCCGAACCGAUUGAUGUCCCCCGCGAACAUAGAACUGUUCCUAUAAAAUUAAAACUGAACGAAUUAGUUCUGAAAGUGCGCUAUCGAUCAGUGCCUGAAUGGAAUUAAACUCGCGAACAAAGCUAUGUUAUGUCAAUAUCCGCCAUGAUUGAUGAUCAUGAAUUUUUAUUAUGAAUUAGUUGUUCGAAAUGAUGUACAAACGUUUAUUUGAUAGUAGAUUAAUACAUCGCAUUGUAUUGUAUGUUGGUUAUUACAAAUUCCUAUUGCUGUCAAUAACCCCUUCGUUGGUAUAAAUAUAAAUAUUAUUAAAAGAACAUUAUCUGCUGUAUCUGAGAGGUAUAUUUUUUGAUAUUAAAAUUUCGUCUUUUUCAUUAUUCAAACUGAAAGUAUAGUUGAAGAACUCUUAUUAUAUAUUGUCUCAGAUGAAUAAUAGAUUACAAUUUAAUAAGUCUCCAUUAGUUACUUGACAUUUACUAAUAAGCUUUUUAUUUUACUUUAUGGUAAAUAGAAAAUAUUUAGUACAUGCGGACAUCUACGCUUAAAUUUUUAAUAAUUUUCAAUGCACAAACGAAUACUGCUUACUUUUACUAUAAAAUAAUAUGUAUGCUAUAAAAUCACAACGAAAUUUUAUGUACAGAAAUAAUAUAACACAUUCGUCUCUAUCACAACACAAAGACCCGAAGGAUCCCAAUAAGAAACGUAUUUAAACCAACCAGUUGGUCAUGAAAAUGAUUUUAUAUCAAAUUUGAAAGUAUAUCACAAAAACUUUUCUGCAAUUUGGUGACAAGAAGUGUGGGUGACUGCAAAAUAUCAAAAAAAUUUCUUGUUGCACUACAUCACUUAAAAAAUUCUUUAUAGUUAUAAAAUUCAUUAAUACACAAAAAAAGUUUUGAAUCAAAAGUUCACAUCUGGCCCCUGGUAUGUGGGUUGCCUCAAAAAUUUGGUAGCAUUGUAUAAUAGAGAAAUGCCGAAAAAUUGCCACAAAAAUCUGAGCAGCAUUGAAUAGUGGAGGAUUGGGAAAAGAUGUUGCCUUCAGCUGGGUUGCAAACGGGCAAAAUACCCUACUUUUCUCUUAAGGUGUAAUGUACUAUUAAAUAUAUUGCAAUCAAUGUCUGGAUAGCAUUAAUAAUAAACUGUCACUAAUAGAAUAGCUGCUUUGUUCGUCUUGGUGAUGAAUAACAGUUUUUAAAAACAAACAAUUGUCAUAAAGCCUUUUCGAAUGUAAUGUCUUUCAUUUCUGCAUAGUUAUUAUCUUGUUGAUUACUUGCAAUGUUGGCAGAUAUUUUUAUAACAAGCUUUUUCCAAUUUUGUGACAAUAAUUCUUCAAAACAAUGGCUGGGAUACCGAGAGGAUGGUAAAAAAAUAUAAACAGGUCUCCAUACAUAAAUGAAAGUUUUAUGCAACUAUUUGAUCUUAAAAUUUGGAUAGAAAACUGUCAGUAGUAAAAAUUUCCUUGUUACUGUGAUUUCUUGAAGUAUACAGGGAUAAUUAUGGAUACGGUUUCAUACUUUCGGUACAUUAUUCAUUUAUGAAACAAAUGAGUGCAAUUUAUAAUAUAAAUUUAUAAUUAAUUAUAGCCCGGGAAGAAAUAUGUCAUCCAAUUUCCUAGAAUAAUGAAACUUGAUAUAAAAUUAUUAUUUUCAUUUAUUAAUAAGUUGAGUGACAGACAUUUGCUAUUCGGAUCUUCUACUAUGUCUUUAGCUUUUAAAUAAUAUUAUAAUAUAUAUUUGAAUACCCCAUACAAUCAAUAACAAUUAUGUUUUUUAUAAUUUAUUGUGAUAAGUCAGAUUAAAUUGUGUUCCGACGAUAAUUUUUUCAAGAUUUUUAUUCUGGGAAUGGAAAGAAAUUUUGACCAUUAAAAAAAAAUAAAUUUGCAUUAUACCAAAUGUUGUAAUAACAUCGAUAAUGAAAAUAUUGAUGAAAUAUUGGGCGGUCGAGUUCCAAAAUUCACUUUUUUAAAUGUUUACAGGAUCCUAUAUAAUCUAUUUCAAGAAACUGUUGAUAAUGCGGAUUUUAUCGGUAUGAGUGAUUUUUUUUCUGAAAUUUCUUGAUUAUUACAUUUAUUGAUCUCAUUUUUUUAUUUUUAUCUUUCUUCAUAUUUGUAUGUUUGUUUGGUUGGAGCGUUUACUUAGUUCUUUCUAAAAACUUAAUAUUCUUCUGUUUUAGGGAUUCUUAUUGUUGUUGCAUAGUUUUGUGGAUAUCAAAAAUGAAUCUUCCAAUAUUUCAUCCAAUAGAAAUUGAAGAGUUUCGUGGUACUAGUAUAAAAUUAACGUAAACACCACUAGCUUCUUGUAUAUCAGGCUUAAAGCAUUCCAUUGGACUACCAUCUAAACUGAUCGAUUCUUCAGAAGAUAGAUAUGGUAAAUUAAAAUUUUGAGACGUUGAUGGUUGUCAAUUAAUCUUUGGAGUGGAGAUAAUUCUUACUUAAAGGAGAAACUGAUAGAAGCAACUUUUGGUACACCGUGUGUGUCAUUCAGGAAUCUAUUGGUUCUCCAUGAUGCUUCAAGAUUGAUUUCAUCUUCGGAACCACAUUUCACCUGUUUUCGAUUCUUUAUUUUUUUGUAAAAUUGUACAAAAUAAACUAAAAGUGGUGAAAUCGUCCUA
This is a long non-coding RNA of Diorhabda sublineata, 4557 nucleotides long. RefSeq lists it as uncharacterized. The record is from RefSeq and is a predicted model, not a curated record. NCBI's taxonomy places the organism in Eukaryota, Metazoa, Arthropoda, Insecta, Coleoptera, Chrysomelidae. The transcript has 2 exons.